CCUACGGGUGGCAGCAGUGGGGAAUAUUGCACAAUGGGGGAAACCCUGAUGCAGCGACGCCGCGUGAGUGAAGAAGUAUUUCGGUAUGUAAAGCUCUAUCAGCAGGGAAGAAAAUGACGGUACCUGAUUAAGAAGCCCCGGCUAACUACGUGCCAGCAGCCGCGGUAAUACGUAGGGGGCAAGCGGUAGCCGGAUGUACUGGGUGGAAAGGGAGCGUAGACGGCAGCGCAAGUCUGGAGUGAAAUGCCGGGGCUUAACCCCGGAACUGCUUUGGAAACUGGGUAGCUAGAGUGCAGGAGAGGUGAGUGGAAUGCCUAGUGUAGCGGUGAAAUGCGUAGAUAGUAGGAGGAACACCAGGGGCGAAGGCGGCUUACUGGACUGUAACUGACGUUGAGGCUCGAAAGCGUGGGGAGCAAACAGGAUUAGAUACCCGUGUAGUC
This 440-nucleotide ribosomal RNA is filed under the name uncultured bacterium. RNAcentral describes it as "partial 16S ribosomal RNA". It matches the Rfam family "Bacterial small subunit ribosomal RNA", at positions 338 to 795 of the family's 1533-position model. The record is from RNAcentral.